AGUUUGAUUCUGGCUCAGAACGAACGCUGGCGGCAGGCUUAACACAUGCAAGUUGAGCGGGAUUCAUUUAUAGCUUGCUAUGGAUGAUGAGAGCAGCGCACUGGUGAGUAACACGUGGGAACAUGCCUUUUGGUGGGGGACAACAGUUGGAAACGACUGCUAAUACCGCAUACGCCUGAGGGGGAAAGAUUAAUUGCCGAAAGAUUGGCCCGCGGAAGAUUAGGUAGUAGGUGGGGUAACGGCCUACCUAGCCGACGAUCUAUAGCUGGUCUGAGAGGACGAUCAGCCACAUUGGAACUGAGACACGGUCCAGACUCCUACGGGAGGCAGCAGUGAGGAAUAUUGGGCAAUGGAGGGAACUCUGACCCAGCCAUGCCGCGUGAGUGAAGAAGGUUUUCGGAUUGUAAAGCUCUUUCAGAUGGGAAGAUGAUGACGGUACCAUCAGAAGAAGCACCGGCUAACUUCGUGCCAGCAGCUGC
Molecule: ribosomal RNA, 479 nt
Filed under: uncultured bacterium
Lineage: Bacteria
Description: bacterial SSU rRNA
Rfam family: Bacterial small subunit ribosomal RNA
Source: RNAcentral